RNAcentral lists this ribosomal RNA (257 nucleotides) under uncultured Rhizophagus. RNAcentral's name for it is "partial large subunit ribosomal RNA". It matches the Rfam family "Eukaryotic large subunit ribosomal RNA", at positions 359 to 582 of the family's 3401-position model. The record is from RNAcentral. Lineage: Eukaryota; Fungi; Glomeromycota; Glomeromycetes; Glomerales; Glomeraceae.
GAAAGAUGAAAAGAACUUUGAAAAGAGAGUUAAACAGUACGUGAAAUUGUUGAAAGGGAAACGAUUGAAGCCAGUCGUACCUUCGGGUAAUCAGCCUUUCGGGUGCGAUUCUGUGGAGUGUGAGGAGCUUAAACACCUUCAUGUUUUGCAUAUUCGUACUCUUGGGUGUACUUGCCCGUGUGGUUGGUUAACAUCAAUUUCGGGCACCAUAAAAUGGCUGGAGGAAUGUAGCUUCGAUCUUGUAUUGAAGUGUUAUA